GAUGAAGAACGUAGCGAAAUGCGAUAAGUAAUGUGAAUUGCAGAAUUCAGUGAAUCAUCGAAUCUUUGAACGCACAUUGCGCCCUUUGGUAUUCCGAAGGGCAUGCUUGUUCGAGCGUCAUUUCAACCCUCAAGCCCCCGGGCUUGGUGUUGGGGAUCGGCGAGCCUCCGCGCCCGCCGUCCCCUAAAUCUAGUGGCGGUCUCGCUGUAGCUUCCUCUGCGUAGUAGCACACCUCGCACUGGGAAACAGCGCGGCCACGCCGUUAAACCCCCAACUUCUGAACGUUUGACCUCGGAUCAGGUAGGAAUACCCGCUGAACUUAAGCAUAUCAAUAAGCGGAGGA
RNAcentral lists this unclassified non-coding RNA (343 nucleotides) under soil metagenome. Its description in RNAcentral is "partial contains 5.8S ribosomal RNA, internal transcribed spacer 2, and large subunit ribosomal RNA". The stretch from base 1 to 120 matches the Rfam family "5.8S ribosomal RNA", at positions 35 to 154 of the family's 154-position model. The record is from RNAcentral.